UAAACACCACAGAAGAAGAUGUUACCAUGGUUACCGGACGUUACCUGUCUCCUGUCUCAUCACUAGUCCUGUUUCUUUUCAGGUAGGCUGGACACACCCAUCCCUGUCGAGCAGGGUUGGUUUUGGUGGGUUUGGUCCUCACCAGCCACCUGUCAGGGUGAACAGAGUCCAGGACCUCGACAAACUGGCCCUCCUUCAGAACAAAGCUUUCCUUUGUUCCGCUGUUUGGACUGCAAUCAGCUCGAGCCACGUACAUUUCAAAUAUCUGAGACGCAGCUGUACUCGCCAACAUCCUCGGGCUGGACGUUUUUGAUGUGCAUCUCGGCUGUCUUCCCCUUCAGCGUCAUCUGAUAUCUUCCCCCAUGAUGCAGCUGGUCGUCCGCCUUCCACCACUGCACGGGCACCCCGGCCCUGGACAGCUCACAGCGAAGGGACACGAGGCCUCCUUCGGGGGCCUCCUGGUUCUUCAGACCCAUUUUAAAGCGAGGCCAGGCUUAGACAGCUCGCAGUUCAGCAUCAAGCUGUUCUCCUCCUCCACCUGCUGGUUCCUUAACUUUGUCUUGAAUGUGAUGGGAGGAGCUGCAAGGAGAAGAACCCAGGGCUGGUAUAAUCUCCAGUGUCGUCCAGACUGAGGUCCGCAAUCUUCAUCUCCACCUGCAGGUCCUUCUUUCUCAUCUGGUAUUUGUCUCCAUUUUUCAGCAGCUCUUCUCCUCUCCUCCACUCCACUGAUGGGGCAGGCUUCAGGACCGCCCGGCCUUUCCUCCACUCCACUGGAGCUCCAGGUUUGGAGAGCUCACAGGUGAAAACUCCACUGUCUCCCUCCUUCACCUCCAGGUGCUGGAGCUCUCGUUUGAAUGUCACAGGAAGUGCUGUGCUGUACCUCCCUGCAUCUUCUGGUUGGACGUUGAGAAUAGUCAUCUGAGCUGUCUUUCCUUCCAGCUUCAUCUCAUACUUCCCUCGAUAGAUCUCCUCAGACAGCACCUGGGUGUCUCUCUGCCACUGCACCGAGACUCCCUUCUUUGACAGCUCACAGCCAGAUCUCCUCCAAGACUCCACUCCACUGGGACACCCGCUUUAGAGAUCUCACAAUACAGUGGGAUGUCGUGUCCUUCCCCUACUUGGAGGUUCUUCAGCUUUUGCUUGAAGGUGAUGGGAAGAGCUGACAGGUAAAGGCUUCGACAGCUCACAGCGCAGAGCCGCAGUGUUGCCCUCCUCAAUCAGCACGUUCCUCAGCUUCUGCUUGAAGGUGACUGGGAGAGCUGAGGAGGUAUGGGUGACCAUAGAUUGAGGUACCUUUCUCCAGGCCUGAUGUUUUCAAAACCUCUCUUCCAGUGGACGUGGACCCCAGGCAGAGAGUAUUCACAGGUCAGGGUCACGGUCUCCCCCUCUUUGGCCUCCACAGGUUCCAGAGACUGGGUGAACUCUGCUGGGAUGGCUAAAGAAAGACAGCAAAGAGACAGGUGACGGUCAGGGACAGCACCACACCCUUCUGCCUGAUGACGUACUUCCUACCGGACCUCAGCUCCACCAUGCCCUUCAGCCAGGUCACCCGCUUGGCUGGCCGCCUGGUCUCACACUCCAAGUUAACUUUACCCUUUUCCUCUCCUCGCAUGUCCAUUAACUCCCUCGCAAAUGUGUGCUGGAGUUCUGAAAGGAAUAAUGAAGUUCAUGAAAUUGAGUCAGGUUUGCCAUUUGUCGGGGUUUGACAUGGCAAAAUAGGACAUUUGAGGGAAACAUUGCACAAUACUACAGUAAAGAACACUAAAAUGUAUUGUCAAUAGUCCUCAUCUAACAUUUAUUUUGAAAGCCCUCAACUACCUCUGAUCUCCAGCUUGGCACGCGAGGCAACGCCGUCGGCCUCACAGCAGUACUCUCCAGAGUCUCUGAUGGUGGCAUUCCUGAUCACCAAUCGCGCCAGCUCAGCUCUGGGUCCUCGCCCGGCACCGCCUUGACAUUCAACAGCUCCCUGAAGAUGUGCACUGGCUUCUCUGAAGGAGGGGACAUGCAUUCACUCACAUUCAGGUGUAUUUGUAUAAAUGCAUUUACCGAAUGGCACAUUUCAAAAUAAAACACAGAAACAAAUUGCUAAUCAUUUUAUCUGA
Molecule: long non-coding RNA, 2102 nt
Organism: Sebastes umbrosus (honeycomb rockfish)
Lineage: Eukaryota; Metazoa; Chordata; Actinopteri; Perciformes; Sebastidae
Exons: 12
Source: RefSeq, a predicted model, not a curated record